RNAcentral lists this long non-coding RNA (435 nucleotides) under Ixodes scapularis (black-legged tick). Its description in RNAcentral is "uncharacterized LOC121834056, transcript variant X2". The record is from RNAcentral. Lineage: Eukaryota; Metazoa; Arthropoda; Arachnida; Ixodida; Ixodidae.
CACUCCCGGGUAACGUGGCUGGUCUGCACCUAUUCUAUGCAAUAGAAACAUGAUCGAUUCUUAUUAUGCUCAUUAAACGAAUGAAACUUAUUUAAACAGUGGAAGAGCUCCAGAGUAGGAGCCAAGUUCCAGCCGUGGACCAUGGUAGUCUGAUACCAGAGACUGAAGGGCUCGCUGAACCCUGUUAAGCUGUGAAACUAUGCCAAGCUCCUACAUCCAAGGCAGCACCCACAGCAGGACGCAAGUUCGUUGAAUGUAUGAAUCUCUGUGAAUGUCAAAUGUUAUUUUUUGAAUUUAUAGCACACCCAGGGCUGCUUGUACCUCAUCCCCAGGAAAUGAAAUCCAACAAAGGAGUCGUUCCACACGUUCCCCGGUCAAGCAGUGCUAUGGCAGGGCUGGCUGCACAAGUGCCUCACGUCAAAGUUCCUGCAGCAG